Molecule: long non-coding RNA, 878 nt
Filed under: Podarcis lilfordi (Lilford's wall lizard)
Lineage: Eukaryota; Metazoa; Chordata; Lepidosauria; Squamata; Lacertidae
Source: RNAcentral
CACGGUAAUACUGAGCGUACCUUCUUAGAACAGUGCUAGUGGGUCAUGGUAGUUCUUCAUUGAUAUCAAUUAUAGAUGCAUGUACUUUCAUUCUGAUCAUACCACUUUGGGGAAUUUUCCUGUAGUGCUGAAAACAGUAAUUGUUCUCUGUCCCUCUUGCCCACAACAUGUGCUCUUUGCAUAAUGAUAGAAUUGCCAUUACACUACUUACCCCAGUAAUUUGGUCAAAGACAGCUCAACCUAUUUUGUAGGAAACGUAAGUCUGGCUCUCAAGUUUUCGAUGGCACAAGUACACUAAUUUGUAGGCAGCAUAUCUUCACAAAAACAGUUGAGAGCAUCAGCAUUUGGGAAUUCUGUAUUUUUGUGUCUCUAGUGGGUGUGUAGCCUGUGGCCCUUGAGCUCUUUGUCGGGGGGGGGCCGCCUUGGGGGGAGAAAAGGAUGGUGGGAUGAGCUGAAACAGAUGGAGCAAUGGGAGGAGGAAGAAGAAAAUUCUGCAAGCAAUCAGUUCAAACUUCUGGCAAGAGUGACCUAUCCCCCACUCCUCAGAAGCCCAAGCUGUCUCCACACUAUCCUGAGUUCAGGUAAGUGUUUUGGGGGAAAAUGAGCCCCUGGCAAGAAAUUGUUUUUUUAAAGCAGUUAUUCAUACAAGUCAAUCUGAUAAAUCAGGAAUGGCAGCUUUUGCAAAAAUCAAAACAAGAAAAAACACACCUGCCCAGUAAUAGCUCAUAAUGAUUCUGGUGUAGAUCAUUAAUGGCACAAGAGGAGCUGAAGUGAAAAAAGAACAAGUAGAGCAUUAUUCAGUGGAAGGCCCAAAAGUCAUGGUUAUUUAUGCAGGGAUCCUUUUUCUAGUAUUCUAAAAACUGCAAAUAAAACCCAAC